This 468-nucleotide ribosomal RNA is filed under the name uncultured bacterium. Its description in RNAcentral is "partial 16S ribosomal RNA". It matches the Rfam family "Bacterial small subunit ribosomal RNA", at positions 28 to 507 of the family's 1533-position model. The record is from RNAcentral.
GACGAACGCUGGCGGCGUGCUUAACACAUGCAAGUCGAACGGAAAGGCCCUGCUUUUGUGGGGUGCUCGAGUGGCGAACGGGUGAGUAACACGUGAGUAACCUGCCCUUGACUUUGGGAUAACUUCAGGAAACUGGGGCUAAUACCGGAUAGGAGCUCCUGCUGCAUGGUGGGGGUUGGAAAGUUUCGGCGGUUGGGGAUGGACUCGCGGCUUAUCAGCUUGUUGGUGGGGUAGUGGCUUACCAAGGCUUUGACGGGUAGCCGGCCUGUGAGGGUGACCGGCCAGAGUGGGGCUGAGAGACGGCCCAGACUCCUACGGGAGGCAGCAGUGGGGAAUAUUGCCCAAUGGGCGGAAGCCUGAUGCAGCAACGCCGCGUGCGGGAUGACGGCCUUCGGGCUGUAAACCGCUUUCGCCUGUGACGAAGCGUGAGUGACGGUAAUGGGUAAAGAAGCACCGGCUAACUACGUG